GCUAAAUACAGUGGCAAGUAUCUUUGAUCCCUGUUAUUGGGGAGGCUGAGGUUGGGGGAUUGCUGAAGUUCAUGAGUUCUGAGUUGUGUGCACUAAAGCUGAUCAGGUGUCUAUACUAAGUUUGGCACAAAUGUGUAAGCCUCAACGUUCAGAGAGCCACCAAGCUGCCUAAAGAAGAGCCAAUUGGCCCAGGUCAGAAAUGGAGAAAGCCAAAGCUCUUGUGCACAUCAGUAAUGGGCCUAAGAGUGAUCAAGGCACUUCCAGCUAUGGAGAGAUAGAAAGACCCAAUCUUA
Molecule: signal recognition particle RNA, 293 nt
Filed under: Phascolarctos cinereus (koala)
Lineage: Eukaryota; Metazoa; Chordata; Mammalia; Diprotodontia; Phascolarctidae
Description: Metazoan signal recognition particle RNA (ENSPCIG00000035569.1)
Rfam family: Metazoan signal recognition particle RNA
About the family: The signal recognition particle (SRP) is a universally conserved ribonucleoprotein. It is involved in the co-translational targeting of proteins to membranes.
Source: RNAcentral